This 77-nucleotide transfer RNA is filed under the name Candidatus Dormiibacterota bacterium. RNAcentral's name for it is "tRNA-His". It matches the Rfam family "tRNA". Rfam says of the family: Transfer RNA (tRNA) molecules are approximately 80 nucleotides in length. Their secondary structure includes four short double-helical elements and three loops (D, anti-codon, and T loops). Further hydrogen bonds mediate the characteristic L-shaped molecular structure. tRNAs have two regions of fundamental functional importance: the anti-codon, which is responsible for specific mRNA codon recognition, and the 3' end, to which the tRNAs corresponding amino acid is attached (by aminoacyl-tRNA synthetases). tRNAs cope with the degeneracy of the genetic code in two manners: having more than one tRNA (with a specific anti-codon) for a particular amino acid; and 'wobble' base-pairing, i.e. permitting non-standard base-pairing at the 3rd anti-codon position. Lineage: Bacteria; Bacillati; Candidatus Dormiibacterota. RNAcentral also lists the same sequence under 4 other names. The record is from RNAcentral.
GUGGCUAUAGCUCAGCAUGGCAGAGCACCAGAUUGUGGAUCUGGCUGUCGAGGGUUCAAAUCCCUCUAGCCACCCCA